AGGCGCCGCGCCGCCCCCUAACGAGCCCCGGCAGCGGGGGGGGGGGCAACCCCCAGGGACCGCGGCACCCGCUGGGGCCCGAAUUUGGGGGCUCCACCCCACAAACCCCAAGGAACCCCAAAAUCUCCUUCACCACCCAAAAACAACCCAACGUUGCCCAACGAUCCCCAACGCCGGGGUCUCCGUCCCGUAACGACCCCCAAGGAGUCUCCAUCGCUCGGCGAACCCCGGCGUUGGGAUCUUCCAUCGCCCUACGAGACCCAACUCCUCCUCCAUGACCCUACGAACCCCAACGUCUCCACCACCCAGAAAAAUCCAACUUCGGGGUCUCCGCCACCCAAAAAAAAAAUCAACAUCAUCUCCGCCACCCAAAAAAAAAAUCAACAUCUUCUCCGCCACCCAAAAAAAACCAACUUUGGGGUCUCCGCCACCCAAAAAAACCCAACCUCUCAGCCUCCACCACCCUACAAACCACAGCGUCGGGGUCUCCACCACCCAAAAACCCAACCUUGCGGCCUUCACCCCCCAAAAAAGACCCAACCUUGCGGCCUUCACCCCCCAAAAAAGACCCAACCUCGUGGCCUCCACCACCCAAAAACCCAACGCUGGGGUCUCCACCACCCAAAAACCCAACGCUGGGGUCUCCACCACCCAAAAACCCAACGCUGGGGUCUCCACCACCCUACAAACCCCAACAUCUCCUCCACCACCCAAAAACCCAACGCUGGGACCUUCCACCACCCAAAAAAAACAACAAAAAACCAACUUUUGGGUCUCCACCACCCAAAAAAACCCCAACUUUGGGGUCGCCGCCACCCAAAGAAGACCAACGUGGGGGUCUCCGCCACCCAAACCCCAACCUCUCAGCCUCCACCGCCUGCCGAGCCCCCCGCCGCCGCCGCCCUCCCCCACCGCGGGGCUCCCCGGGCGCCCUUCCCCUCCCCGUCACGCCGCCCCCACUGACUUGCCGCCGUGUCCCUCGUGCGGCCCCGCGGCCUCCGUCCCUCCUCCUCCUCCUCCUUCUCCUCCUCCGCCACGGGGCCGCCCGGCGCCCCCGGGGGGCCUCCCGUAGAGGUAGACGGCGGCCAGCACCAUGGCGGUGCCGGCCACGAAGGCGCCGCGGGGCCGGAAGCCGAAGAGGUGCGCGGAGGCGGCGGCGGAGGCCAGGAUGGAGAGGGCGGUGGCGAAGCCCUUGAGGAUGUUGUCGGCGUAGCGCACCACCACGGCCACCAGCAGCCCGCCGGCCGCCUGGUUCAGCACCACGGCCCAGACGGCCGGGCUGUAGCCGUGGAAGAAGCCCACGGCGGCCACGGCGCGGCCCUCGGCGGCCAGCAUGGCGGCCAGCCCCACGGCCGUGCCCACGGCGCCCAGCUGCAGGUUGCGCACCCAGAUGGAGCCCCCCGAGGUCUUGAGCAGCCGCUCGAAGUAGACGCCGGCGAAGCCCGACGACAGGCACGAGGCCCCCACGGCCGCCAGCCCCGUCAGGUAGCUCUGGGGGGGGCCCCCGCCGUCCUCGGGGCCGCCCCCCCCGCCCCCCGGCGGCGGCCGCACCUGCUCGGCCUGCACCAGGGCCACCCCCGCGAAGAGCAGCGCCAGCGAGAACCACUGCAGGCGCGACAGCGACGUCC
Anser cygnoides (Swan goose) is the source of this 1628-nucleotide long non-coding RNA. The record is from Ensembl. Lineage: Eukaryota; Metazoa; Chordata; Aves; Anseriformes; Anatidae.